RNAcentral lists this unclassified non-coding RNA (245 nucleotides) under fungal sp. RNAcentral describes it as "partial internal transcribed spacer region". The stretch from base 1 to 46 matches the Rfam family "Eukaryotic small subunit ribosomal RNA", at positions 1786 to 1831 of the family's 1831-position model. The record is from RNAcentral. Lineage: Eukaryota; Fungi.
AAGUCGUAACAAGGUCUCCGUUGGUGAACCAGCGGAGGGAUCAUUAAUGAGGAUAAACCCUCUAUAAACCAUUGUGAACUUACCAUAUUUCGUUGCUUCGGUAGGCGGCCCCGGGGGGGCCUGGGCCUUUUGGCGCCUACCGGGCAACACUUUAAAAUCUUUCAAUUCUUGCAUUCAGAGAAUUCUAGCCUGCCUUAAGGUAGCAUAAUCAGUAAAAACUUUCAACAACGGAUCUCUUGGUUCUG